UUCUUCAACAGCACAUAUUCCUUAAAACUGAAAUGAAAUAGAGAAGAUUACCAUGGCCUCUGUAUAAAAAUAAUUGAAUUCAUGAAGUAUGCCAUUCUUUU
RNAcentral lists this small nuclear RNA (101 nucleotides) under Canis lupus familiaris (dog). Lineage: Eukaryota; Metazoa; Chordata; Mammalia; Carnivora; Canidae. The record is from RNAcentral.